This 162-nucleotide small nucleolar RNA is filed under the name Ananas comosus (pineapple). Its description in RNAcentral is "Small nucleolar RNA snoR145". It matches the Rfam family "Small nucleolar RNA snoR145". The record is from Rfam by way of RNAcentral. Lineage: Eukaryota; Viridiplantae; Streptophyta; Magnoliopsida; Poales; Bromeliaceae.
GUGCGAAGGGCCCAGCGGAGGGGUGUAAAUCUCCUACUAUUGUUGAGACCUCUCUAACGAUUGUAUCUAACCUUCGUACAUAAGUCACAGCCGUUUCGUAGGACGCGUGGAUUGCAUAUUUUGUUAGGGUUUCACGGCGUCUGAAACCGCGGCAACAUUGAC